GAUGUUGCAUCAUGGCCAGUUAUAGAGAAGAUCACAACACAAAUGCAAACCGAUGGGGUAUCUUGCGGGCUAUGGAUGAUAAACUAUAUGGAAUACUGGACAGGAUCCUCCCUAUCUGAUAACGUAACUCAGGAUGAUAUAACAAUGUUUAGGUUUAAGCUACCUGCAAUAUUAUGGGACUCGAGAUUAAACACAAAGAAAAGACAUCAAAAUCUUGACCACAAUGUGGAUGAAGAUGG
Molecule: long non-coding RNA, 239 nt
Organism: Zea mays
Lineage: Eukaryota; Viridiplantae; Streptophyta; Magnoliopsida; Poales; Poaceae
Exons: 3
Source: RefSeq, a predicted model, not a curated record